This 28-nucleotide small RNA is filed under the name Bombyx mori (domestic silkworm). Its description in RNAcentral is "piRNA piR-bmo-2201399". The record is from RNAcentral. Lineage: Eukaryota; Metazoa; Arthropoda; Insecta; Lepidoptera; Bombycidae.
UGACUGUAAACCUUUUUUGCUUUGGCCA